This is a long non-coding RNA of Ornithorhynchus anatinus (platypus), 992 nucleotides long. RefSeq lists it as uncharacterized. The record is from RefSeq and is a predicted model, not a curated record. The transcript has 3 exons. NCBI's taxonomy places the organism in Eukaryota, Metazoa, Chordata, Mammalia, Monotremata, Ornithorhynchidae.
GGAUCGGCUCGAAGUUCCAACGACGAGAUCUUCCGAGCAGGGGACGGUGCCCGGGGAAGACGGAGGCGAGACUUUCCGUGACGCUCUGAAGGAGGAAGGGACUCGUGCGUGGGGAGCGGACCGGGGAGGCGAAUGUGCUCGCUUUCCUCCAAAAAUGAAGGCUAUGUGGGUGAACCUGGAGCUGACUCUCACGCCAGAGAUGCUCAGUGGAACAAGCCACUCCUUUUGCUGCACCGUUCGGCCACAGGGUGACACCAUCCGUUCACGCUAAGGUUUAAACUGCGUCAAGAUCCUAGAAAGCCUCGCUCCAGGCAGAAAACGCACAUCCAACGGAUCUGAGGAAACACGCCUUUCGUCCUGAAGAAAAUGCUCACUCCAAGGGAAAAGAGAAAAUGGUAACGGCACUGCUGUGGACGACUCUCUUUCCAUCCUCUUCCAAAGAACUGCUUUGGAGGCUUUAUCCCUUUGGAGGAUCAGAGAGCCAUCCCGCCAGAUAAUUCACGUCUUUGGAAACGGUUCAUCCCAUCCCUUGGUAUUCAGCCCACACCGGAGGGAAGAGGAAUAUUAAUGGAACACUAGCAGUCAGAAGACGAACACUUCCUUGUCUGAGAGCAGAAACACCCCACGGGAAACAGCUAGUGAUGGGUGCACACUGUGUUUCAUUAGUGCUUUCUCCGUGUGGCAUGACUCAAGACGUCUAAUUGAGGCGCACAUUAAAAAUAACCUCAGCCGUCCAAAGAGGAGAAACCGUGUUUCCGCUCGGUGGGAAAAAACGAACGACCCUGUUUAUUCUUCCUGCCCCGUAGUGUGAACUGAAAAUCACCCCUGGAGAGAUGUGAAUUCCUCUCUGGGAAGGGCAUCCUGACUUUCCCGCUUCCCCGUCACCGCACUCUCACAGCCGCCGCCCCCCUCGAUGAAAAUGGCGAGGCCCACGGUGAAAAAUAAAAUCGAGCAGGCCAUCCGCUCCAGGUUGAGGGAGCUGCUCUCUCGAU